GUAAGAAGCCAGCUGGCAUUUGUCCAUAUGAUGGGAACGACAGGCAAGAAAUCCUCAGGGACGGGGGAAGAUUUCUCCAAAGAAUCUAGAAAUCCUUCUGCAAAAAAGAGUCAGUGCAAAUAUCUGCUGAUCAAAUUGGAACAUCCCCAGCUCAAAUUUUCACUCUUCCUGCAGCUCUAAAGUAGAUCCUAAAGGGGGUGUGUGUGUGUGUUUGUGCACGCGCGUGUGCGCGCGUGUUUGGGGUGGGGUGUUAAGUGGGAACAGAUGAGAGGGAAGUAGAGCAGAAGAGGAGCAGUACCAUCUCCAGCUCAAGUGCAGUCUGCUUCCUGCACAGGCCUGGGCUGGGAGGAGGAGGGGCUGGUUGUCUGAAUGAAGCUGUAAACUUCGACUUCUAGAUGGAACUGACAUUCUAAUGACUAGCAGGAGACUGUGUGUUACUUAAGAAUGGCCAGAAAAGCCAAGAAACUGCCCAGCUUUUUAUUGGGGCAGAGAAAAACCCAGUGCAUGGAAUUCAUUGCAAGGAAUAUCAGAAGACCAAACAAUGUGAUCCUUACACCUAGUGAAUACUCUGGUUCGAUGUGCUGGUUACAUUUAGAAUUCCAGGAGAGAAAUAGUACUCCCUGGGAGAAGACGCUCUUAACUCAGAGAUGCGGAGACAAUCACAAAUGUGAGCAUUCCUGAAAUAACUGCUAUCCUCGUGGAGUCCUGUUCCUGGUCCUGUCUACUCAAGAGAUUGUGGGUGUCGCCUGCCUUGAGUUGGCCACCCUCAUGGGCUUCUUUGUUACUGGCAAUCAAAGUCCUGAUAACCUUGAUGUGAUACCCCUGCAUUCAUCCCAGGCACUAUAAGACAUCUCUCUCCCCAACGGCUGCACUGAAGGUAGGUGCUCUCUACCUGGUUAGAAGGACGUCUGCCAGCAUCCAUUCUGCAUUCUCUCAGCUUAGCAAUACCAGCGGAGGAGGAAGCUGCUUGUUGACAACAUCUGAAGUUUAGCCUUCACCACCUUUUGACCAGGAGAUCUAGGAACUACAAAGACAUCCAAAAUGGGUGGAGAAGGAUGACAGGAUAACAGCAAAACACACUCCCGUUUAGAAAGGGAAGCAUGGGAGACACAGGCAUCACUGAUUUCUGAAUUCCAACUCUGGGUCAAGCAGACCAUGUGAGGCCCCCUACUCUUCAGAGCUCUUGGGGGUCAGGAAUGAUUCUUGAUUAGGUUUGGAUGCUGCCCUCUGAGGGAGCUGCCUUGCCCACUGUUCCUUGACUCUGCCCUCCAGGAGUCCUUUCCUUUUCCAUCAUCCUCCUUGCGUGCAUCUGAAGUGAGGUGAUCCCACUUGGAGGCUCCGGGGUCCCCAGCACACUUUCUGCUUGAGGCACACUCUAAAGGACACUGGAGAAAGGGGACAGAACCAGCAGCAGGUGCCCACACGUCAGGAAACACUCAUCCGCUGAAACAGCUGAGCUUGCCUGGAGAUUUGCAAGCAAUAUAUCCAGGAACAACUCCUGGGCUUUUCUCCUGCUGAGCUCCCAGGAUCACUCCCUUAGACUCAAAUUGUCACCCCCAACUCGCUGUGGUGGCUGCAUGGUCCAGAUGGCGCUGCACCAACCACUCCUCUGGGGCUGGGACUCUAGGAAGCAAGUGACACACCUUCUUAAGACUAACCCGCAGGUCGGCUUUCUUAUUUUUUUUUAAGCAAUAAUCUCUAUGGAGACACCAACAGAGGGUAACAGUAAUCAUCAACAGAGAGAAGGCUUCGGAACACACAACACUUUCAGAAUAUGACAGUUUAUAAUGUCUUGGCCCAUAUCUACUGUGAAGCAGCAACAUCAGUCUUCCAGCCUCUGACCAUCACUCUCCUUUGUGAAGGCCCAGCAAGGAGCCCUUUCUAGUCCAUGUUGAUCAGCCACCUGCCUUGAGGAACUCGAUUUAGGCUGUUUUAUAACCAUUGAUUUGUGUUCAUUAACUUAAACCUCGUCUCUUUUUAAUGGGUUCUUCUAUUAGUCUUAAUAGUUUUUAAUUUGUAAUUAAAGUUUCCUAGAGUCACAAAUUAAAUAUCAUAUCACAGGCAAAUAUAGAUCAUUUUGUCUUCUUGACUUAAAAAGUUAUACCUUGUAUUGCUGUUUCUGGACUUAUUUCAUUGCCCCGAACUUUUAGAGCUACAUUAGACAAUAGGAAAUGGCAGGUAUUUCGGAAUUUAUUGGAAAUGCUUUCAACUUUUCUUUUCUUUCUUUCUUUUUGAGAUGGAGUUUCACUCUUGUUGCCCAGGCUGGAGUGCAAUGGUGUGACCUUGGCUCACUGCAACCUCUGCCUC
RNAcentral lists this long non-coding RNA (2307 nucleotides) under Homo sapiens (human). Its description in RNAcentral is "HSALNT0048903". Lineage: Eukaryota; Metazoa; Chordata; Mammalia; Primates; Hominidae. The record is from RNAcentral.